AUGUUAGCGCCUGUUAGCUGGAUGUUAGUGCCUGUUAGCUGGAUGUUAAUGCCUGUUAGCUGGAUGUUAAUGCCUGUUAGCUGGAUGUUAAUGCCUGUUAGCUGGAUGUUAAUGCCUGUUAGCUGGAUGUUAAUGCCUGUUAGCUGGAUGUUAGUGCCUGUUAGCUGGAUUUUAGUUCCAGUUAGCUGGAUGUUGGUGCCCGUUAGCUGGAUGUUAGUGCCUGUUAGCUGGAUGUUAGCGCCUGUUAGCUAGAUGUUUGUGCCUGUUAGCUGGAUGUUAAUGCCUGUUAGCUGGAUGUUAAUGCCUGUUAGCUGGAUGUUAGUGCCUGUUAGCUGGAUUUUAGUUCCAGUUAGCUGGAUGUUGGUGCCUGUCAGUUUGGAUGUUAGCACCAGUUGGCUUGAUGUUAGCUCCAGUUAGCUGGACGUUAGCUGGAUGUUAGCACCUGUUAGCUGAAUUUGAGCUCCAGUUAGCUGGAUGUUAGCUCCUGUUAACUGGAUGUUAGCAUAGGGCUGGACAAUAAUUCAUUAAUAAUAUAUAUUUAUUGAUGUUUCGAUGACGUGUGGUGGGAAAAAAUGUUGAUGGCUGGCUGCGUCCUUCAUAUCAGACGUCUCCCAAAGCAGCACUGCUCACUCCUGCUUUUGUUUUGUUUCUGAUAAUCUGAAGACUAAUUGGGUCAGUUUGGUUUCAGAAGCUGAACUUGAUGGGAUAUAAAACCUGAAAGCAGCCUGCUGCGAAUGGACCAGGAUGAGGAAAACCAGAUUAUGUUGGGUUUGGUUUCACUCAUCUGAUAAAAGACUCCAGUCUUAAGUGCCUCUCUGAGUCAGACGGGGGAGGGGCUGCCUCUACAUCAGCACCACCAUACCCUUUGAACACCACCAGCAGGCAAGGAGAGUGAAGUGGCUUGCCCAACUGCACAACUGACUGGGCUCAAACCGGCAACCUACCAUUUACAGGGCGAAGCUGCUCUUCUUCUCAGGAUGGUGGAAGUUUCACUUCCUGUUUCUGGAGUCCAGUUAAAAACAAACCAGCGUUUCAUCUGGGAGCGUUUUGGUUUUAUUAUUUAAAAACUAAUGUGAUUGUUUUUCAGAAGUCUUUAUUCCUUCCAGUUUCUACUGGAUGGGUGUGUGUGUGUGUGUGUGUGUGUGUGUGUGCGUGUGUGUGUGUGUGUGUGUGUGUGUGUGUGUGUGUG
This 1189-nucleotide long non-coding RNA is filed under the name Nothobranchius furzeri (turquoise killifish). RNAcentral describes it as "lncRNA (ENSNFUG00015018308.1)". Lineage: Eukaryota; Metazoa; Chordata; Actinopteri; Cyprinodontiformes; Nothobranchiidae. The record is from RNAcentral.